RNAcentral lists this ribosomal RNA (413 nucleotides) under uncultured bacterium. RNAcentral's name for it is "bacterial SSU rRNA". It matches the Rfam family "Bacterial small subunit ribosomal RNA", at positions 355 to 787 of the family's 1533-position model. The record is from RNAcentral.
UGGGGGAUAUUGCACAAUGGAGGAAACUCUGAUGCAGCGACGCCGCGUGAGGGAAGAAGGUUUUCGGAUUGUAAACCUCUGUCUUCGGUGACAAAAUGACGGUAGCCGAGGAGGAAGCCACGGCUAACUACGUGCCAGCAGCCGCGGUAAUACGUAGGUGGCAAGCGUUGUCCGGAAUUACUGGGUGUAAAGGGAGCGUAGGCGGGAAGACAAGUUGAAUGUUUAAGGUACCGGCUCAACUGGUACAAGCGUUCAAAACUGUUUUUCUUGAGUGGAGUAGAGGUAAGCGGAAUUCCUAGUGUAGCGGUGAAAUGCGUAAAUAUUAGGAGGAACACCAGUGGCGAAGGCGGCUUACUGGGCUUUAACUGACGCUGAGGCUCGAAAGCGUGGGUAGCAAACAGGAUUAGAUACCC